AGCGUCCGUAGCAGGUUCUGUAAAUCUUUUGUGAAAUUGUCGUGCUUAACACUACAACGUGCAAAAGAAACUGCAAAACUAGGGACCGGGAGGGGUCAGAAGUAUUUCGUGGGGAGCGGUAAAAUGCUAUAAUCCACGAAGGACUACCUAUGGCGAAGGCAUCUGACUAGAACGGAUCCGACUGUGAGGGACGAAAGCCAGGGGAGCGAACCGGAUUAGAUAUUAAGAAUCUUGUAUCUUUGAUUGUAGUGCAUGAUUUUCUUUGUUCGUCGAUAAAAACAUACUAUAAGAAGAUUGUGUUGCUGGAAUCUGAAUAUUAUAAAAUCUUGAUUCUUGACUAAUUACCCGAGUAGUCCUGGCUGUAAACGCU
This 370-nucleotide ribosomal RNA is filed under the name uncultured euryarchaeote. RNAcentral's name for it is "bacterial SSU rRNA". It matches the Rfam family "Archaeal small subunit ribosomal RNA", at positions 514 to 761 of the family's 1478-position model. The record is from RNAcentral. Lineage: Archaea; Methanobacteriati; Methanobacteriota.